GCUUAACACAUGCAAGUCGAACGAAAAGAGGGAAAGAGCUUGCUCUUUUCAGAAUUGAGUGGCAAACGGGUGAGUAACACGUAAACAACCUGCCUUCAGGAUGGGGACAACAGACGGAAACGACUGCUAAUACCGAAUAAGUUCCAAGAGCCGCAUGGCCCAUGGAAGAAAAGGUGGCCUCUACCUGUAAGCUAUCGCCUGAAGAGGGGUUUGCGUCUGAUUAGCUGGUUGGAGGGGUAACGGCCCACCAAGGCGACGAUCAGUAGCCGGUCUGAGAGGAUGAACGGCCACACUGGAACUGAGACACGGUCCAGACUCCUACGGGAGGCAGCAGUGGGGAAUCUUCCGCAAUGGGCGAAAGCCUGACGGAGCAACGCCGCGUGAGUGAUGACGGCCUUCGGGUUGUAAAACUCUGUGAUCCGGGACGAAAAGGCAGAGUGCGAAGAACAAACUGCAUUGACGGUACCGGAAAAGCAAGCCACGGCUAACUACGUGCCAGCAGCCGCGGUAAUACGUAGGUGGCAAGCGUUGUCCGGAAUUAUUGGGCGUAAAGCGCGCGCAGGCGGCUUCCCAAGUCCCUCUUAAAAGUGCGGGGCUUAACCCCGUGAUGGGAAGGAAACUGGGAAGCUGGAGUAUCGGAGAGGAAAGUGGAAUUCCUAGUGUAGCGGUGAAAUGCGUAGAGAUUAGGAAGAACACCGGUGGCGAAGGCGAC
Molecule: ribosomal RNA, 712 nt
Filed under: uncultured Peptococcaceae bacterium
Lineage: Bacteria; Bacillati; Bacillota; Clostridia; Eubacteriales; Peptococcaceae
Description: bacterial SSU rRNA
Rfam family: Bacterial small subunit ribosomal RNA
Source: RNAcentral